This 429-nucleotide ribosomal RNA is filed under the name uncultured Hydrogenophaga sp. RNAcentral's name for it is "bacterial SSU rRNA". It matches the Rfam family "Bacterial small subunit ribosomal RNA", at positions 952 to 1382 of the family's 1533-position model. Lineage: Bacteria; Pseudomonadati; Pseudomonadota; Betaproteobacteria; Burkholderiales; Comamonadaceae. The record is from RNAcentral.
CGAUGCAACGCGAAAACCUUACCCACCUUUGACAUGUACGGAAUUUGCCAGAGAUGGCUUAGUGCUCGAAAGAGAGCCGUAACACAGGUGCUGCAUGGCUGUCGUCAGCUCGUGUCGUGAGAUGUUGGGUUAAGUCCCGCAACGAGCGCAACCCUUGUCAUUAGUUGCUACAUUCAGUUGGGCACUCUAAUGAGACUGCCGGUGACAAACCGGAGGAAGGUGGGGAUGACGUCAAGUCCUCAUGGCCCUUAUAGGUGGGGCUACACACGUCAUACAAUGGCCGGUACAAAGGGUCGCAAACCCGCGAGGGGGAGCCAAUCCAUCAAAGCCGGUCGUAGUCCGGAUCGCAGUCUGCAACUCGACUGCGUGAAGUCGGAAUCGCUAGUAAUCAUGGAUCAGCAUGUCACGGUGAAUACGUUCCCGGGUCUU